GCCUGUGGUGCAUUGGAUCAGUGUGUCUGGCUGUUAACCAGAAGGUUGGUCGUUCAAGCCCACCCAGUGACA
Podarcis lilfordi (Lilford's wall lizard) is the source of this 72-nucleotide non-coding RNA. Lineage: Eukaryota; Metazoa; Chordata; Lepidosauria; Squamata; Lacertidae. The record is from the annotation of a GenBank genome assembly.